CAAGUCGAGGGCAUCCGGGGGCGACCCCGGGUGACCGGCGAACGGGUGCGUAACACGUGAGCGACCUGCCUCCCCGCGGGGGAUAGCCGGCCCAACGGCCGGGUAAUACCGCAUACGCUCGGUCGGGGGCAUUCCUGAUCGAGGAAACUUCCGGGGCGGGGAGAGGGGCUCGCGGCCUAUCAGCUAGUUGGCGGGGUAACGGCCCACCAAGGCGGUGACGGGUAGCUGGUCUGAGAGGAUGGCCAGCCACAUUGGGACUGAGAGACGGCCCAGACUCCUACGGGAGGCAGCAGUGGGGAAUCUUGCGCAAUGGGAGCAAUCCUGACGCAGCGACGCCGCGUGGGGGAGGAAGGGCUUCGGCUCGUAAACCCCUGUUGCCCGGGGCGAACCUGGCGUUUCGACGCCACUGACGGUACCGGGUGAGGAAGCACCGGCUAACUCCGUGCCAGCAGCCGCGGUAAUACGGAGGGUGCGAGCGUUGUCCGGAAUCACUGGGCGUAAAGGGCGCGUAGGCGGCAUGCCAAGCGUGUGGUGAAAGCCCGGGGCUCAACCCCGGGUCGGCCGUGCGGACUGGCGUGCUCGAGCACUGUAGGGGCGGGUGGGAUUCCGGGUGUAGCGGUGGAAUGCGUAGAGAUCCGGAAGAACACCGGUGGCGAAGGCGGCCCGCUGGGCAGGAAGACGGAGUAAUCCGUCGGCUGACGCUGA
RNAcentral lists this ribosomal RNA (705 nucleotides) under uncultured Gemmatimonadota bacterium. RNAcentral's name for it is "bacterial SSU rRNA". It matches the Rfam family "Bacterial small subunit ribosomal RNA", at positions 58 to 769 of the family's 1533-position model. The record is from RNAcentral. Lineage: Bacteria; Pseudomonadati; Gemmatimonadota.